UAGUGUCUAAUGCUGAUGGCACCAUGACAGUAUUGUCAAUGGAGUUUCCCACAAAAACUAUGGCGAAUACAUCUUUAUUUGCCACAUCGUCUACUGCUUAUUACGUCAUGCCUGUAUUUUGGCAAAUGCCGAAUCUAAAGGUUCCGGGGUGGAAAGAUAGUUCCGGCAGCGGGGUUUGAUGUGUUUACCGUAACCGUGAGAUGCGGGGUGGCCGCCGAAUGAGUAAGGACCAGAAUUAAUUUGUGACGUAUUUGGCUGAUUUUGAUAAACAAGCUGAUGAUGGAGAAGAACCAGACCUGCAAGGCUGAUUUGCUGACAGGAGAGGUAUUAAUGGACUUUGAUGAAGUGGCUGUUUACUUUUCCGAGGAGGAGUGGCACUUUUUAAAUGAAGAGCAAAAACGGCUUUAUAAGGAUGUGAUGAUAGACAAUUAUCUGACUCUCAGAUCUCUAGG
Molecule: long non-coding RNA, 452 nt
Organism: Bombina bombina (fire-bellied toad)
Lineage: Eukaryota; Metazoa; Chordata; Amphibia; Anura; Bombinatoridae
Exons: 3
Source: RefSeq, a predicted model, not a curated record